RNAcentral lists this ribosomal RNA (490 nucleotides) under uncultured bacterium. Its description in RNAcentral is "partial 16S ribosomal RNA". It matches the Rfam family "Bacterial small subunit ribosomal RNA", at positions 30 to 507 of the family's 1533-position model. The record is from RNAcentral.
AUUGAACGCUGGCGGCAGGCCUAACACAUGCAAGUCGAACGGUAACAGGAAGCAGCUUGCUGCUUCGCUGACGAGUGGCGGACGGGUGGGUAAUGUCUGGGAAACUGCCUGAUGGAGGGGGAUAACUACUGGAAACGGUAGCUAAUACCGCAUAACGUCGCAAGACCAAAGAGGGGGACCUUAGGGCCUCUUGCCAUCGGAUGUGCCCAGGUGGGAUUAGCUAGUAGGUGGGGUAACGGCUCACCUAGGCGACGAUCCCUAGCUGGUCUGAGAGGAUGACCGGCCACACUGGAACUGAGACACGGUCCAGACUCCUACGGGAGGCAGCAGUGGGGAAUAUUGCACAAUGGGCGCAAGCCUGAUGCAGCCAUGCCGCGUGUAUGAAGAAGGCCUUCGGGUUGUAAAGUACUUUCAGCGGGGAGGAAGGGAGUAAAGUUAAUACCUUUGCUCAUUGACGUUACCCGCAGAAGAAGCACCGGCUAACUCCGUG